Long non-coding RNA from Arachis stenosperma, 2012 nucleotides. RefSeq lists it as uncharacterized. The transcript is spliced from 7 exons. The record is from RefSeq and is a predicted model, not a curated record. Lineage: Eukaryota; Viridiplantae; Streptophyta; Magnoliopsida; Fabales; Fabaceae.
CCCUCACUCACGCACACUCCUCUCUCAGUCACAGUCCUAUACUCCUCUCUGCCGUCGCUAUCCAGCCGUCCAGCAACCGCAGUUUCCGUCCCAUUAUCGGCCGUCCAGAAGCCGCGUCUCUCAGCCUCGUCGUUCUCAGCACCGUCAAUCUCAGCAGCCGCAUCGUCCUUAGCGCCGUUGUUCUCCAUCAUUCUUAGUUGUGCUCCAUCGUUCUCAAUCUCUCAGCUUCAGGUCAAAUAAGGAGAGCGAUUUGCAAUUUAAAGGAUAAAUCUUCUUAUUUGCAACUUUGUAGAAAAUAGGACAUACUGGGCAUCUUUAUAGGCUCAGCCUAAAGAGGUGGAAGGAGAAGGAAGCUAUUGGGGUGGUGAGCCAGCUUCUUGCCUCUUUGCCAAAUCCACAAUAAUGGCAAUGGUGGAAAGAAGCCAGAGAAAACGGAGAAGGGACCUGAGUUAUCUGAAUUUGUUGGUUCUGAUUUUAUACAUCCCAAGGAUGUUGUCCCGAUCGAAAGCAUACAGGAGUUUGACGAGACUGUUGAAGGGACUGGAAACAAGGGCAGGGUGUGUGUUGUCAAUGAUAUUGUUUUGGGUGAUAUAGAGGAGAUGAUGGGAAUAGAGGAAGUUGAGGAUACUUUUAGGACACUGCUGCAGGACAGGUGUAACGAUGCAGAUAAAGAGCAACAAAAGAUAAUGGAUGAGUUGGAACUGGUUGUGAAUGGAACACAAAAUAUCAUUUGUGAUAGUGGUUUAAUCUCUUUGAGUGCAGGGUCAGGUGAGGAACAGAACAGGGCAGUUGAGCCGAUGGAUUACCGAUUCGAGAAUGAUGAAUUCCCGCAUUCUGAUGUCAAAAAAUGUGGUAAUGCAGGUGAGAUGCAAGUACAAGGCCCGCUUGAUCAACUUCCUUCUGAAAACUUUAAUCAAUGCUUAGGAGUUGAGUUGUCAACAUCAGCACAGGAACAAACUUCUGCAUUGGUAACUGGUAUAUCUAAGUAUAAACCACGGGAGAGAGGGGAGUGAAAUGGAAAUGGUUUGUGCUGCAACGGGUUCUCUUCCAAAUUCUAAAGAAGGUGAAGUUGAGAAGGUAGAGCAAUGUGACUUAAUGGUUACUCAAGGAUUGCAUGUUUCUUUGGAAGAUAAAUAUGAAAUGAAAAAUGAAAGGAAUUUAGAAAAGUCAACUUGUGCAAACAAUGCAUCUAUUUCUUCAAAUAUUCAGAUUGAAAAUGAAGACAUAGAAGAGGGAGAACUUGUUGGAGACUUUGGAGUGGAUUGUAGUUCAUUUGGCAUGCCUACUGCAGAUUCCUUUAUUCCUCAAACGAAAAUUGAUGAGGUUCAGAACCCCGAAAGUAUUAAUAUGGGGAAGACAAAAAAGGAAGGUUUAGGCAAAGAAAUAGGUAGGAAACUGGUUACUGACAUGCCAAUAAAUUAUGUUCAAAAUCAAGUCUUGCACGAAUGCAUAUUGGAAGAGGACUCUGAGAUCAUGGAAACCCUGCUGCAUCAGAGAAAGUUGAUGUCAGCCGUAAGAAAAAGCGUGGCCCUGGUUCUGCGGAAAAGAAAGCGAAAAAGAAGGAAAAAAGCGGAAAAAACGGGCAGAAAAGAACAAACAACUUGGUGUUAAAAGGGUGACAAGUGCCAUUUUUCACAUGAUACAGUGCCUUCUACCAAAUCAAAGCCAUGCUCCUUUUUCGCUCGUCACUCCUGCAUGAAAGGAGAUGACUGCCCUUUUGAUCAUCAACUCUCUAAGUAUCCUUGUGUUAACUUUGUGUCCGGAGGUUUUUGUGUCAGAGAUGAUGCAUGCUUGUUUUCGCACCAGGUACCACAUCCACUCUAUAUUACUUCCCGUAAAAUGCUUGUGUUUUCAAUCCAAAUACAAAGGCUAUUGUUAGCAUAUAUAAUUAGGAUAAUUAGGUUGUGCAUUAUGUGUUAGCUUUGAGGAAAAUUUCCCAAAGGGCAGCAGGUAUAUAGGCGCAAGAGGUUCAGGGACAGUUUUGUAGUUAAGCAGAAUCAGGAAGUGGGAGA